Molecule: ribosomal RNA, 403 nt
Filed under: bacterium
Lineage: Bacteria
Description: partial 16S ribosomal RNA
Rfam family: Bacterial small subunit ribosomal RNA
Source: RNAcentral
UGGGGAAUAUUGCACAAUGGAGGGAACUCUGAUGCAGCGACGCCGCGUGAACGAAGAAGGCUUUCGAGUCGUAAAGUUCUUUUAUAUGGGAAGAUAAUGACGGUACCAUAAGAAGAAGCCCCGGCUAACUACGUGCCAGCAGCCGCGGUAAUACGUAGGGGGCUAGCGUUGUCCGGAAUCACUGGGCGUAAAGGGUUCGCAGGCGGAAAUGCAAGUCAGGUGUAAAAGGCAGUAGCUUAACUACUGUAAGCAUUUGAAACUGCAUAUCUUGAGAAGAGUAGAGGUAAGUGGAAUUUUUAGUGUAGCGGUAAAAUGCGUAGAUAUUAAAAAGAAUACCGGUGGCGAAGGCGACUUACUGGGCUCAUUCUGACGCUGAGGAACGAAAGCGUGGGUAGCAAACAGG